UCCGUAGGCGGGCAAUUAAGUCAGAGGUGAAAUCCCACAGCUCAACUGUGGAACUGCCUUUGAUACUGGUUGUCUUGAGUUAUAGUGAAGUAGAUAGAAUAUGUAGUGUGGCGGUGAAAUGCAUAGAUAUUACAUAGAAUACCGAUUGCGAAGGCAGUCUACUAACUGUAUACUGACGCUAAUGGACGAAAGCGUGGGGAGCGAACAGGAUUAGAUACCCUGGUAGUCC
This 229-nucleotide ribosomal RNA is filed under the name uncultured bacterium. RNAcentral describes it as "partial 16S ribosomal RNA". It matches the Rfam family "Bacterial small subunit ribosomal RNA", at positions 568 to 796 of the family's 1533-position model. The record is from RNAcentral.